Molecule: ribosomal RNA, 253 nt
Filed under: uncultured bacterium
Lineage: Bacteria
Description: partial 16S ribosomal RNA
Rfam family: Bacterial small subunit ribosomal RNA
Source: RNAcentral
UACGUAGGUGGCAAGCGUUGUCCGGAUUUACUGGGCGUAAAGAGCGCGCAGGCGGUCUUGUAAGUCGAAUGUGAAAGCCCCUGGCUCAACUGGGGAGGGUCAUUCGAUACUGCUCGACUCGAAGGCAGGAGAGGGAAGCGGAAUUCCCGGUGUAGUGGUGAAAUGCGUAGAUAUCGGGAGGAACACCAGUGGCGAAGGCGGCUUUCUGGCCUGUUCUUGACGCUGAGGCGCGAAAGCUAGGGGAGCAAACAGG